This 987-nucleotide ribosomal RNA is filed under the name Corynebacterium glutamicum. RNAcentral describes it as "bacterial SSU rRNA". It matches the Rfam family "Bacterial small subunit ribosomal RNA", at positions 46 to 1042 of the family's 1533-position model. Lineage: Bacteria; Bacillati; Actinomycetota; Actinomycetes; Mycobacteriales; Corynebacteriaceae. The record is from RNAcentral.
GCUUACACAUGCAAGUCGAACGCUGAAACCAAAUGCUUGCAUUUGGUGGAUGAGUGGCGAACGGGUGAGUAACACGUGGGUGAUCUGCCCUACACUUUGGGAUAAGCCUGGGAAACUGGGUCUAAUACCGAAUAUUCACACCACCGUAGGGGUGGUGUGGAAAGCUUUAUGCGGUGUGGGAUGAGCCUGCGGCCUAUCAGCUUGUUGGUGGGGUAAUGGCCUACCAAGGCGUCGACGGGUAGCCGGCCUGAGAGGGUGUACGGCCACAUUGGGACUGAGACACGGCCCAGACUCCUACGGGAGGCAGCAGUGGGGAAUAUUGCACAAUGGGCGCAAGCCUGAUGCAGCGACGCCGCGUGGGGGAUGACGGCCUUCGGGUUGUAAACUCCUUUCGCUAGGGACGAAGCCUUAUGGUGACGGUACCUGGAGAAGAAGCACCGGCUAACUACGUGCCAGCAGCCGCGGUAAUACGUAGGGUGCGAGCGUUGUCCGGAAUUACUGGGCGUAAAGAGCUCGUAGGUGGUUUGUCGCGUCGUCUGUGAAAUCCCGGGGCUUAACUUCGGGCGUGCAGGCGAUACGGGCAUAACUUGAGUGCUGUAGGGGAGACUGGAAUUCCUGGUGUAGCGGUGAAAUGCGCAGAUAUCAGGAGGAACACCAAUGGCGAAGGCAGGUCUCUGGGCAGUAACUGACGCUGAGGAGCGAAAGCAUGGGUAGCGAACAGGAUUAGAUACCCUGGUAGUCCAUGCCGUAAACGGUGGGCGCUAGGUGUAGGGGUCUUCCACGACUUCUGUGCCGCAGCUAACGCAUUAAGCGCCCCGCCUGGGGAGUACGGCCGCAAGGCUAAAACUCAAAGGAAUUGACGGGGGCCCGCACAAGCGGCGGAGCAUGUGGAUUAAUUCGAUGCAACGCGAAGAACCUUACCUGGGCUUGACAUGGACCGGAUCGGCGUAGAGAUACGUUUUCCCUUGUGGUCGGUUCACAGGUGGU